Molecule: long non-coding RNA, 489 nt
Filed under: Macaca mulatta (Rhesus monkey)
Lineage: Eukaryota; Metazoa; Chordata; Mammalia; Primates; Cercopithecidae
Description: lncRNA (ENSMMUG00000058061.1)
Source: RNAcentral
GGGCAAAUCCCCUUUAAUUUAAAUAUAUAGAACAGUCUAUUAAACAUUUUUGUUCUUCAGAAGAUACUGUUCCGUUCCAUCAAAACAAACUUUCAUUCAUUACAGGUGUUGCCGUAAGGCUGCCGAGCUCUCUGGGUGUCUAACCUUCCCUUCUUGUCAUCAGCUAUUAAAACUACUAAAACAGAAGAAUGCUUAACCACUCCAGCUGUUAAAACAUUAGUACAUGCUUUGGAUUCUUGACAGUGGUGGCACACAAUGCUCUGGGCAGGAGACUCUGUUUCCACCAACCUAGGCCAUGCACAAAUCUCAUGCCUCAAACGUCUCCAGAGGUCAAAAAUCAGAUACUAGAGUCAGUGAACCAGUGUAUCAUCUUGCUUUUCUCCUAAAAGAGAGAAUUCUACCAACUUCCUUAAGAAGUAAAAGCAACAAUAUAAAAAUAUUAUGGCGUGCUUCAAAGUUUGACUGAAGAGUCUCAUGAGGCCAACACAG